UACUGGCAGGAUCAACCAGGCGACGGUGAAGAACAAGUAUCCUCUUCUCCGGAUUGAUGAGCUCUUCGAUCAGCUUCAAGGUGCUCAGUAUUUCUCGAAGGUGGAUUUGAGGUCAGGAUAUCAUCAACUAUGAGUUAGAGAGCAGGAUGUGUAGAAGACAGCAUUCCGUACUCGCUACAGGCACUAUGAGUUCCUUUUGAUGCUGCUCGGGUUGACGAAUGCACCAGCAGUAUUCAUGGCAUUAAUGAACUAGAUCUUUGCCUCAUACCUCAAUAGCUUCACAGUGGUGUUCAUCGACGAUGUUUUGGUUUACUCCAAGUCUAAAGAGGAGCAUGAGUAGCGUUUGAGGACAUCUCUGCAGUUGUUGCGCAACAACCAGUUGUAUGCAAAGCUCAGCA
This 398-nucleotide unclassified non-coding RNA is filed under the name Litsea ochracea. Its description in RNAcentral is "partial miscellaneous RNA". Lineage: Eukaryota; Viridiplantae; Streptophyta; Magnoliopsida; Laurales; Lauraceae. The record is from RNAcentral.